This 912-nucleotide ribosomal RNA is filed under the name uncultured bacterium. RNAcentral's name for it is "bacterial SSU rRNA". It matches the Rfam family "Bacterial small subunit ribosomal RNA", at positions 56 to 970 of the family's 1533-position model. The record is from RNAcentral.
UGCAAGUCGAGCGUGAAAGUCCUUCGGGAUGAGUAAGCGGCGGACGGGUGAGUAACACGUGAGUUACCUACCUUUUAGUGAAGAAUAACUUCGAGAAAUCGAAGCUAAUGCUGCAUAAUUCUUUCGAGACAAAGGUGGCUUUAUGCUGCCGCUAAAAGAUGGGCUUGCGGACUAUUAGCUAGUUGGUGAGGUAAUGGCUCACCAAGGCUUUGAUGGUUAACCGGCCUGAGAGGGUGUACGGUCACAUUGGAACUGAGAUACGGUCCAGACUCCUACGGGAGGCAGCAGUGGGGAAUCUUGCUCAAUGGGCGAAAGCCUGAAGCAGCGACGCCGCGUGGAGGAUGAAGGCCUUCGGGUUGUAAACUUCUGUUAAGUGGGAAAAAAGCCUUUCUAUUAAUACCAGAGAGGGAUGAUUGUACCACUAGAGAAAGCACUGGCUAAUCUCGUGCCAGCAGCCGCGGUAAUACGAGAGGUGCAAGCGUUAUUCGGAAUCAUUGGGCGUAAAGGGUGCGUAGACGGCAUUGUAAGUCUGUUGUUAAAAUUCUUGGCCUAACCGAGAGUCUGCAAUGGAUACUGCUUUGCUAGAGGGUGAGAGAGAGAAGUGGAAUUCUCGGAGUAGCGGUCAAAUGCGUAGAUCUCGAGAGGAACACCGAUGGCGAAGGCAGCUUCUUGGCUCAUUUCUGACGUUGAGGCACGAAAGCGUGGGGAGCAAACAGGAUUAGAUACCCUGGUAGUCCACGCCGUANACGAUAAUCACUAGAUGUUGGCCUGGUUUUCUGGGUCAGUGUCGUAGCUAACGCGUUAAGUGAUUCGCCUGGGGAGUACGGUCGCAAGACUAAAACUUAAAGGAAUUGACGGGGGUCCGAACAAGCGGUGGAACAUGUGGUUUAAUUCGACACUACGCGAGGAACC